CAGCAGCCGCGGUAAUACGUAGGUGGCAAGCGUUGUCCGGAAUUAUUGGGCGUAAAGGGCUCGCAGGCGGUUUCCUAAGUCUGAUGUGAAAGCCCCCGGCUCAACCGGGGAGGGUCAUUGGAAACUGGGAAACUUGAGUGCAGAAGAGGAGAGUGGAAUUCCACGUGUAGCGGUGAAAUGCGUAGAGAUGUGGAGGAACACCAGUGGCGAAGGCGACUCUCUGGUCUGUAACUGACGCUGAGGUGCGAAAGCGUGGGGAGCGAACAGGAUUAGAGACCCGCGUAGUCCCUGUCUCUUAUAA
This 301-nucleotide ribosomal RNA is filed under the name uncultured bacterium. Its description in RNAcentral is "partial 16S ribosomal RNA". It matches the Rfam family "Bacterial small subunit ribosomal RNA", at positions 509 to 809 of the family's 1533-position model. The record is from RNAcentral.